RNAcentral lists this non-coding RNA (27 nucleotides) under Drosophila melanogaster (fruit fly). The record is from RNAcentral. Lineage: Eukaryota; Metazoa; Arthropoda; Insecta; Diptera; Drosophilidae.
CCCUGUAUAAUUUUUUAUUUCGAAAGG